RNAcentral lists this ribosomal RNA (392 nucleotides) under uncultured Spirochaetaceae bacterium. Its description in RNAcentral is "bacterial SSU rRNA". It matches the Rfam family "Bacterial small subunit ribosomal RNA", at positions 994 to 1382 of the family's 1533-position model. The record is from RNAcentral. Lineage: Bacteria; Pseudomonadati; Spirochaetota; Spirochaetia; Spirochaetales; Spirochaetaceae.
AGUGUGGCAGCGAUGUCACAGACUGGAAACAAGUACCCUGUACAGGUGCUGCAUGGCUGUCCGUCAGCUCGUGCCGUGAGGUGUUGGGUUAAGUCCCGCAACGAGCGCAACCCCUACUGCCAGUUACUAACAGGUAACGCUGAGGACUCUGGCGGAACUGCCCGGUGAACAAACCGGAGGAAGGUGGGAUGACGUCAAGUCAUCAUGGCCCCUAUGUCCAGGGCUACACACGUGCUACAAUGGGCGAUACAGAGUGACGCGAAGCCGCGAGGUGGAGCAAAUCGCAGAAAAUCGUUCUCAGUUCGGAUUGGAGUCUGAAACCCGACUCCAUGAAGGUGGAAUCGCUAGUAAUCGCGCAUCAGCAUGGCGCGGUGAAUACGUUCCCGGGCCUU